RNAcentral lists this ribosomal RNA (400 nucleotides) under uncultured bacterium. RNAcentral describes it as "bacterial SSU rRNA". It matches the Rfam family "Bacterial small subunit ribosomal RNA", at positions 356 to 773 of the family's 1533-position model. The record is from RNAcentral.
GGGGAAUCUUGCACAAUGGGGGAAACCCUGAUGCAGCGACGCCGCGUGAGCGAUGAAGCCCUUCGGGGUGUAAAGCUCUUUCGGCAGGAACGAUUAUGACGGUACCUGAAGAAGAAGCUGCGGCUAACUACGUGCCAGCAGCCGCGGUAAUACGUAGGCAGCAAACGUUGUUCGGAGUUACUGGGCGUAAAGAGUACGUAGGCGGUUUGCCAAGUUUGGUGUGAAAUCUCCUGGCUUAACUGGGAGGGUGCGCCGAAUACUGGCGAGCUUGAGUGUUGGAGAGGGGAGCGGAAUUCCUGGUGUAGCGGUGAAAUGCGUAGAUAUCAGGAGGAACACCGGUGGUGUAGACGGCUCCCUGGACAACCACUGACGCUGAGGUACGAAAGCGUGGGUAGCAAAC